UCCGAGUUGACCCCGGCAGUCUCCUAUGAGUCCCCACCAUAACGUGCUGGCAACAUAGGACGAGGGUUGCGCUCGUUGCGGGACUUAACCCAACAUCUCACGACACGAGCUGACGACAGCCAUGCACCACCUGUGAUCCUGCCCGUGAGGGAAGCCGUGUUUCCACGGCGGUCAGGAACAUGUCAAACCCAGGUAAGGUUCUUCGCGUAUCAUCGAAUUAAACCGCAUGCUCCGCCGCUUGUGCGGGCCCCCGUCAAUUCCUUUGGGUUUUAGCCUUGCGGCCGUACUCCCCAGGCGGGGCGCUUAAUGCGUUAGCUGCGGCACAGAGAACCGGAGAGGCCCCCCACACCUAGCGCCCAACGUUUACAGCGUGGACUAC
RNAcentral lists this unclassified non-coding RNA (379 nucleotides) under uncultured Actinomycetes bacterium. Its description in RNAcentral is "uncultured actinobacterium contains 16S-23S intergenic spacer region". The record is from RNAcentral. Lineage: Bacteria; Bacillati; Actinomycetota; Actinomycetes.